UACGUAGGCGGCAAGCGUUGUCCGGAAUCAUUGGGCGUAAAGGGAGCGCAGGCGGAACAUUAAGCGGAUCUUAAAAGUGCGGGGCUCAACCCCGUGAUGGGGUCCGAACUGAGGUUCUUGAGUGCAGGAGAGGAAAGCGGAAUUCCCAGUGUAGCGGUGAAAUGCGUAGAUAUUGGGAAGAACACCAGUGGCGAAGGCGGCUUUCUGGACUGUAACUGACGCUGAGGCUCGAAAGCCAGGGUAGCGAACG
This 250-nucleotide ribosomal RNA is filed under the name uncultured bacterium. RNAcentral's name for it is "partial 16S ribosomal RNA". It matches the Rfam family "Bacterial small subunit ribosomal RNA", at positions 524 to 774 of the family's 1533-position model. The record is from RNAcentral.